Long non-coding RNA from Bombina bombina (fire-bellied toad), 274 nucleotides. RefSeq lists it as uncharacterized. NCBI's taxonomy places the organism in Eukaryota, Metazoa, Chordata, Amphibia, Anura, Bombinatoridae. The transcript is spliced from 2 exons. The record is from RefSeq and is a predicted model, not a curated record.
UCAGUAGUGCCGCACUGGGGUUCUGAGGGCUUUUAAGGAAGUCCAUGAGUCCCAUGAAUAGCAACACAUCGGGAGAAGCAGUGGUGGAUUGCUAGAUUGUCAACGUAUGUUGGGGGACUAUAUCCUCCAUCUUCAUCCACAGUUCCUGUCAUAUGGAAAUGCACUGGGUAACUGCCCAACAGCUGCUGUCCCAUAUGUGUUACUUCUACUCCUGACAGAUGAACAGAAGUAAAAUGUCUCUGGAUCUGUGAAAAUAAAAUGAUAAAGCAUUGAA